CAAGGAUUGAGAGGUUAGCGAGGUCAACGCUCCGUCAAGACACAAGAACAUUUCGCGAGGAACAACUCUAGGCACGAUCUGUGAAGAAGUUUGGCCAAGACCUCAACCCGAAGGUGGAGAUCCGAGAAUCGUCUAAGAACGGUAAGUGAACUUCCGACGCUCUUAACUCGUUCGGUAGUCAAGAAAAAAUUACAAAAAAAA
Molecule: long non-coding RNA, 201 nt
Organism: Cucurbita maxima (winter squash)
Lineage: Eukaryota; Viridiplantae; Streptophyta; Magnoliopsida; Cucurbitales; Cucurbitaceae
Exons: 2
Source: RefSeq, a predicted model, not a curated record